Long non-coding RNA from Arvicola amphibius (Eurasian water vole), 1221 nucleotides. RefSeq lists it as uncharacterized. The record is from RefSeq and is a predicted model, not a curated record. The transcript has 2 exons. Lineage: Eukaryota; Metazoa; Chordata; Mammalia; Rodentia; Cricetidae.
CCAAUACCUUUUUACUUCUACAGAAGAACUCUGGUUUGGAUUUUCAUUUUUCUGUGAAACAAAUGAAAUAAAGAGAUGUGCGAGCAUACAGGAUCAUUUUGUUAUUAUAUCCCUAUAAUUGUCUGAAGCAGCUUGCACUAGUUUGCUUUUUUGUUUCAUUGCUAAUCCCUAUUUUUCUACUUGUUGUAGGCUUUACCAAGUCCUGUUCCUUGAUUCCCAGUGCCUAACACAGAACAUGACAGACAGAAACUGUAAUUAAAUAAAUGCUUUCUCUGGUUUCUCCUCAGAACCAGAGAACUGACGUCCAUGCUUAUGGCUUUUGAAACACAUAGUGGCAUUUAUAGAAGAAUAUUGUUUUGUUUUGCUUUGCUUUUCAAGACAGAGUUUUUCUGGGUAACAGCCCUGGCUGUCCUGGAACUCACUCUGUGAACCAGGCUGGCCUUGAACUCCGAGAUCUGCCUGUCUCUGCCUCGGUGUCCCUGGCACCCGGCUCCUGUAAAUACGACUUUUCAUGUUGCAGUUUUGAGUAUCACUGGAAUAGCCAUUUUCACUUGGAAUCAUAAUCCAUAGCCCAGCGGUCCAUUUGGCUUUAUGUAUGUGGCAGAUUCACAUCUAUUUGUAUGUAAAAGUUUAAAACCUUGGGGGUUUUGUUUUGGCCUACCAGUUUUGAAACAAAAACUUAGCAUGUCCCUCAGCUGGGUCACGUGACGCCUUCCGUUGAUAAGCAAGGCAAAUGCUUUCAGAACUUCCAGCCCUGACGUUUCUUUCAGUGCAGCAUGUAGUCAGUCUGUGAUCCUUUUGUUAUCAGGUUUUUUCAGUCAGAAUUUAAUUCACAUCCAUUUUUUUUUAAUUCUUAUUACCAUUGCUUUGUUUUUUACUUGUCCACAAAGAGCACGCACGGACAUCUAUCCGUAAUUUCACUUUCUGCGGUUGUGGUACCUGGUGUUAAUUGUGGUCCAGAAAUAUAAAAUAAGCUGAGCAGGGUGGUGUAUUCCUGUAACCUUGGCACUUGAGAAACAGACACAGGAGGGUCAGAAGUUCAAGGCCAUUCUCUGCUACAUAGCAGGUUUGAGGUUAGCCUGGGUAAGAUGAGUUCAUGUCUCAAAAAGCAAAAUAAUAAAAAUAAAAAGCCAAGCUUGAUGGCAUAUGCCUGGAGUCCCAGCACAGAGGAGAUGGAAGCAGAAGAAUUGCUGCAAGUUCAAGACCAUCCUCAGCGACAUA